This 2023-nucleotide long non-coding RNA is filed under the name Anas platyrhynchos platyrhynchos (common mallard). RNAcentral's name for it is "lncRNA (ENSAPLG00000019891.1)". Lineage: Eukaryota; Metazoa; Chordata; Aves; Anseriformes; Anatidae. The record is from RNAcentral.
GAGUUAAGCUAGUUAUUAACUCUCGAAACUGAUCAUAGUGGCAUUCUACCUCAGGGCAUAUCUUCCCUUCCCAUCUGCAGAAAGACGGAGCUGAGCGGAACCCAGAGGCAAUUAAGAUCUGCACCACGUGCUGCUUUCAAGAAGAAGGUGAGGAAACACGCUGGCCAUUAUGCAGAGAUCACGGAGAUGAAGGAAGAGUCACGCUAAUGAAGACAGGAAGGACGAUGAACUCAGACUCGGGGAGACAGGAAAGUGAAUAAAAGCACCAGACUGAAACACAGCAGCAAUUUUAUUCCAGCAGCAAUCUUCUGAAACAGAAAUUGGGAUUAAAAACACGUUUAUAAUGAACAACCAGCAACCUCCGCAGACCAGCAGCAUUCACGUGGGGGACAGAGGAUCAGUCAGCAGCAAGGUCAGAAGCUGAAAUGGGUGCUGGAGCCCCAGAGACCCCCAUGAGAAAGAGCCACCAGCCGUCUCUCCCUGCCGCAGUGAGCUGACGGAGCUGGCAAUUCUUCCGCAGGCAUCAAGGUCCUGAUCUUGCUCCCAGCAAAGUCAAAGGCAAAAUUCCCAUUGUAUGAUGGAUCACAACUAAUUUCCUGCAGGCUCGAUGAAGUUGCUCGAACCAGCUUCCAAAAACAAGCCAAUGCAUUUUAAAACCACAGCUGGGGGUCUACUGUAUUAUAACGUGACCCCUGAGAGGGUACAAAUUGCUGUGAGCAGCAGCCGCAGACAAUCUGAGGCAGAUUUAGGGUAUUUCAAGCCAGGGACGGCUCAGCUUCUGCCAUCGCCCUUCUGUGCGGAGGCGAACAGCAAAGUGCAGCCAAUUCCUCCGGAGGAAGCAGCAGAUCAGGCGGCCUUUAUGCAUUAUCCUCAGAGUGCGUGAGGGCAGUCAGCAAUGUAAAUGUCAUGAAAAGACAGUGAGAGUGACAGCAGGAUGACCGGCUGGUUAGGAACUGCACUGCCCACAAGCUGCUUCUGAGUCCUACCAAUAAUCAGAGAAAUUGGACCUAUGGUGGACACCGGAGGCCAUCACCAAGAUGAGAACUUGGCACAUUUUUGCACAUUUCCACCAGCUCAAAUAAUAUCCUUGCUAUUGCCCUCGUAAAACAUUGACCACGGCAGCAGGUCUCUCCAUCCUUCCCAAAUCUGGCAGUGUGGCAGAGCCACAUCAUCUUCAGGUAUCCCUCUUAGAGUUACCCGCUCUUGGAGCAACCAUAUCUGCCCCAGCUUAUUGCACCAUCCACUAAGGGUCAGCACAGAAACCCAAGCAGGCUAGAUCAAAAGCCACAUAGUGAAAAAGAGCUGAAGGCAUCUGUGCUCAAAGCAUGUUCACUCGCACUCAUUUCAGGCCUAAAACUGCAGUGUUUUUCUACCAGUCUUCAGAGGGAAGGAGUUGAAGACCCCCAUCCUGUGAGAGGUUUCUCCUACAAAACAUUGUCCAUGUCACAGAAGAGCUGGAAAUAGUGUCAGGAGGAAGGGUUUGGCCAGUUUGGAUAUUACUCUAAAUCCUUGUCCUUUAGAAUCGCACUAGUUUUACGCAAAGACAACCCACAACACUUGCAUUUGAUCAUAAGUACCAGAAGAGUACAGUUUUUCACAUUGUUACAGCUUCUCCUGCUUGCUCAAACUGUGAUGGAGAACAGAUAAUCUUUAGAAGAAAAGCACAAAUGGAAAGCUGGUUAAAAAGUGGGGAAGCGUCAAUCAGCCACACAAAGCUGACAACAGAUCAAAGACCGUAUCAAUGAUUAACAGGAGUAGAUCAGGGAUUUUUGUUUUUUCAAAGCUUAUUCUGAGCCAGCUGAAAGUGAAAUACGUGGUGCUACAACCUUCCGGUGUGUUUCAGCAUAAAAGAAAGUCCUACUUCAUAUCCAUCAGCAAACUGCAGACCUGGCAUUUCUCUUCACUUCUUCACCCUUCAGUCGAUCAAACAGGCUGUUCUGAGCAUCUGACAACCUUGCUGUAGCCAACUCGAGUUAAACAUCAAAGAAAUAAAAGCCCAAGACCUGGCUUGAUGUUUCGUGUG